RNAcentral lists this long non-coding RNA (2021 nucleotides) under Mus musculus (house mouse). RNAcentral describes it as "predicted gene 2788". The record is from RNAcentral. Lineage: Eukaryota; Metazoa; Chordata; Mammalia; Rodentia; Muridae.
AGCAGGGUUGGGGUACUUGGGGUACCGCGCUAGGAAUUUGUGGCAUAGCAACCCCAAGCUCUUCUCCUUCCGACUCGGCUGGGAUUUCUCAAAUUCGUCUCCUGAUAAGUGUUCCUGCAGAGGGAAAGGGAUGUGAACCUGUUUUGUACAAAUUGGUGGCUUGUUUGGGUUCUUCAGAAUUGUGGCUUCUGAUUCACUGGAGGUGGCUGUGCCCCUACCCCGCAACCCCCUGAAGUGGCUGGCAUUGGUGCAAAUGAGGCUGUUGAACCUGAUCGUGUUCUCUCUGGCCUUGGACCUGAGUGCUGCAGAGAGAGAGAGAGAGGGAGACUCUGAUGGCUCUGAAGAUCAUGGCCCUUCCCAUAUGAGGUUCUAGGCAGUAUUCCUGAGCCGGUCUCUUGCUCACUCCCCAGCCCUUUUGAAUACCCCUUUUCGGUAUGAAUUUGAUGAUCUAAUUUGACUAUCUCUCAAAUGCUCAGGUCAUCCCAUGAAACUCCAUGCCAGCCCUCCUCUGCCACAUCAUAGUGCCUUUAUUCAUAUCACAGCCCCUGCUGGCAGGAGCUAAACGCAAAGCUGGAACCACACUUGUCAAGCAACGUCGAUGGUGGACACGUUCAGAUGGACACCGUCCGUCAGCUUGGCUGACAGUCCCGGUUCAGAACACCACUUUUCCUAACUUGAGGGCGGGGCAUAUGAUGGGCCAGCUUACAUCCCGGAGCACAGUGACCCUUUCAGAACUGACAACCAGCGCCGUCCAUCACUUUCCCUCCGAGUGAGCCCAGGAGAGGCACCUACCUCUCCAUGCUUCAGAUAUUGGGAAGGAUCUGUGAAAGAAGCUGAAAGUGGGAGAAGGGCAGGAACCACCUGUCCAAUUCCAGAUGCCUGCUGGGAGCGUGGCUGGAGAGUUUGUACAUUUGUCCCUGUUUCUUAUGUUUAACAUAGAGACUUCUUUGGGCAGCCUUGGGCUUGCCCCAGCCAUUUGACUCUGGUACAGUCUCACACUGCUUUGUCAUACCAUGUCACAGCAGAAGGUCGAGAUCAGUGGCAAGCACUCAUUCCUCCAGGGAAACCUGUAAAACAGGAAGGGCAGGAAUUAUUCCCUUAUUUUUCACAAGGAACAAUAAGGAAAAAAGGAAAAUAAGGCCUAUCCAUCUGUCCCUCCAUCCGUCUGUCCACUCAUCCAUUCAUCCAUCUUGCUUUAACUCAGCUAAAAUUUAUUAGUGCACUCCCGUGUUCUAGGAACUGUGAAGUGAAAAGGGGAAAGGAGGUUUUGGAAAAGCUCCUGGGAGAGUAUACAAAUCCAUACAGGAAAAGGGGCGACCAUGGCUCCGGGUUUUUAGAAAGUUGGCAUGUCAUGGCAGGCUGUGGCCAGUAGGUGGCGCUCAGGUUUCCAGACGAUCCAACCGUUUGUAUAGUCCAAAGCUUUCAUUUUCAUAUCCAUUACUGUGUCUGAAAUCAAAUUCUAAGACAUAUUGAAAGACUAUAUUCAAUUUUAUUUUAAUUCAACUUAUUUGCUGUUAAUUGUUCCAUGCUUUUUAAAAAAUGGACAAAUUAAAUCUGGUUGUGUUAUGGCUUCCUGCUAAGUGAAAGGCAUGGCCAAGGAAAUUAGCCUCCUAAAUACGUUAGCACCUCCAGUGAGUGGUAUUACCAAAUGCUGUGAGGAGCUAAUGCUGUCUGGGAACGAUCUGGAAGAAUACACAAAAAUGUCAGAUAUCAGCUCAGGGUGGAACUCCAGAUGGUUUUAUUUUUGAUACUUGUCUGGUUUAGGGCAGAGAAAGAGCACUUUACUUUGCCUGUGUAUUUGCUUGUGUGUCUAUGUGCCCACAUAUGGACGUCUGGUGUCCACAGAGGGUAGAAAAGGGCAUCAGAUCCCCCAGAACUGGAGUUAUACUGUUGUGAGCUGCUGUGUGAGAGCUGGGAAUCGAGUUUGGGGGCGUCUGAAAGAGCAGCCAGUGCUUUUGAGCUCUGAGCCAGUGCUCCAGCCUUGCAAGUUAGUAUCUUUAUAAACAGAAGUGCUAAAAUGA